UACAGAGGGUGCGAGCGUUGUCCGGAAUCACUGGGCGUAAAGGGCGCGUAGGCGGUGUGUCAAGUCAGGCGUGAAAGCCCCGGGCUCAACCUGGGAACAGCGCUUGAGACUGGCACGCUCGAGUUCGGGAGAGGAUGGUGGAAUUCCCAGUGUAGAGGUGAAAUUCGUAGAUAUUGGGAAGAACACCGAUGGCGAAGGCAGCCAUCUGGACCGACACUGACGCUGAGGCGCGAAAGCGUGGGGAGCAAACAGG
This 253-nucleotide ribosomal RNA is filed under the name uncultured bacterium. RNAcentral's name for it is "partial 16S ribosomal RNA". It matches the Rfam family "Bacterial small subunit ribosomal RNA", at positions 524 to 776 of the family's 1533-position model. The record is from RNAcentral.